RNAcentral lists this ribosomal RNA (497 nucleotides) under uncultured bacterium. RNAcentral's name for it is "partial 16S ribosomal RNA". It matches the Rfam family "Bacterial small subunit ribosomal RNA", at positions 28 to 507 of the family's 1533-position model. The record is from RNAcentral.
GACGAACGCUGGCGGCGUGCCUAAUACAUGCAAGUUGAGCGCUGAAGGCUGGUACUUGUACCGACUGGAUGAGCAGCGAACGGGUGAGUAACGCGUGGGGAAUCUGCCUUUGAGCGGGGGACAACAUUUGGAAACGAAUGCUAAUACCGCAUAAAAACUUUAAACACAAGUUUUAAGUUUGAAAGAUGCAAUUGCAUCACUCAAAGAUGAUCCCGCGUUGUAUUAGCUAGUUGGUGAGGUAAAGGCUCACCAAGGCGAUGAUACAUAGCCGACCUGAGAGGGUGAUCGGCCACAUUGGGACUGAGACACGGCCCAAACUCCUUCGGGAGGCAGCAGUAGGGAAUCUUCGGCAAUGGACGAAAGUCUGACCGAGCAACGCCGCGUGGGUGAAGAAGGUUUUCGGAUCGUAAAACUCUGUUGGUAGAGAAGAACGUUGGUGAGAGUGGAAAGCUCAUCAAGUGACGGUAACUACCCAGAAAGGGACGGCUAACUACGUG